This 477-nucleotide ribosomal RNA is filed under the name uncultured bacterium. RNAcentral's name for it is "partial 16S ribosomal RNA". It matches the Rfam family "Bacterial small subunit ribosomal RNA", at positions 30 to 507 of the family's 1533-position model. The record is from RNAcentral.
AUGCACGCUGGCGGCGUGCCUAACACAUGCAAGUCGCACGGAGUCCAGCCUUUAAGACCUUCGGGUCAAAGAGGGGAAGACUGAGUGGCGGACGGGUGAGUAACACGUGGGCAACCUGGCUCAUAGAGGGGGAUAACAGAGAGAAAUUUCUGCUAAUACCGCAUAAGCACACACUGCCGCAUGGCAGAGGGUGAAAAGAGAAUCGCUAUGAGAUGGACCCGCGUCUGAUUAGCCAGUUGGCAGGGUAAGAGCCUACCAAAGCGACGAUCAGUAGCCGAUCUGAGAGGAUGAACGGCCACAUUGGGACUGAGACACGGCCCAAACUCCUACGGGAGGCAGCAGUGGGGGAUAUUGCACAAUGGGGGGAACCCUGAUGCAGCGACGCCGCGUGAGUGAAGAAGUAUUUCGGUAUGUAAAGCUCUAUCAGCAGGGAAGAUAAUGACAGUACCUGAAUAAGAAGCCCCGGCUAACUACGUG